GGAUCAUCGAACCCAUACCCCUGCAUUGGAAGCAUGGAGUCUUAACCACUGGACCACCUGGGAAGUCCUGCAAUCCCAAAUUGAAUGAGGCAAUAAAGCAACUGGAACCCUUCUAUGCCAUGGGAGGGAUUCAUGUCUGGGACAGAGAGGAGAAGAGCUCCUGGGAUUUGCAGAAGAAAGAGGCCUGGGGACAAACAUGUCAUCACUGGGGCCCCAGGAAGACCUUAUCGAGCCUGUAGACUCUUCCUUUGGAGCCUUGGUCUUAGCAGUGUUGUUUUCUGGCCCUUGGCGGACGGCUACUCUACCUGGGAGUUACUUGCCUCUGAAGGCUACCCGUGUCAGAAUAAUUCUGGGAGACUUAUCAAAUGGAGAUUCCUGGACCCCAAUAACCU
Non-coding RNA from Odocoileus virginianus texanus, 392 nucleotides. Lineage: Eukaryota; Metazoa; Chordata; Mammalia; Artiodactyla; Cervidae. The record is from RefSeq and is a predicted model, not a curated record.